Non-coding RNA from Rattus norvegicus (Norway rat), 1149 nucleotides. Lineage: Eukaryota; Metazoa; Chordata; Mammalia; Rodentia; Muridae. The record is from RefSeq and is a predicted model, not a curated record.
AGCACAUUUAAAAUCCUCUCCUAGAACACGUUUGGCAGCCCACCUCCCGUACCAGCCUUUGGGCGGGCAGAGGUGCUAUCUUUAUAACAAAACAAUGAAAGAAAGAUCACCUGCUGCCGCCCUAGAAAAUGCUUCCUCUGUGUUCAAGCCGGAGUGAGGAGCGGGGAAGGAAGGAACGAGUCCAUCGAAGUUGGAUCACAGGGUGCAGAGAGAAAUCCGUUACAUUGGUAGGAUCCAGAGCCAAAGGCUUAAAAGGACUCACUAAGGAUUUGCUCUCUAGUCUAUGGGCAAUGGGGAGCCAGAGGGGAUUUCAGAGCAAGGGGAAGGCGUGAUCAAAACCAUGCUUCACAAAAAUCGAGUUGCUUGAGCAUAGAAGUGGAUUCAAAGAGGAAGGGGCUCACGGCAGAGCUGCUGGCUUGGGAUUAUCUCAGUAGAUCUUAAGAAAGAAACAAACUCAGAAAAACCACCGGGGCAGCAGCUGAGGAGAAGAAGAGAGCGUGUGGGAGACAUCUCUGAGAAAUAAGAUAAACUCCGGAUUCUCCUAAAGGUACAGGGGGAUCCAGCACAGGACAGCUGAGACGUGGGAACAAUAAAAAGCGCCGGAUAUGAACGGACCUUGCAGAGCGCCUGACACUGUCUUAACUCAUGCAAUCCUCAAGGGCACUGUGACAUCAGGCUCCCCCUUCUAAUGCAGUCACAAAGGCACCAAGUGUGUUAUGCGGGACACCAAGAGGUUACACAGCAUGCCCAAGUACACUCAACCGAUAAGCACAGCACACACCACCACAGUGCUUUGAGCUAGGCCACUGUCACAGAGCCCAACCUCUUCAUCAUGAAGCAAAGCUAAAUCUCCAAGACCAGAAACCCAAGGGACCCCGGCAGAAGUCUGGAUCACCAGAGUGCCAUGCUAAGACUCACAGCCAAGUUUGAAAAUGGCAGCUGCCUUCCUGAGUCUGGCAUCUACGAUACGAGGUGAGGAGUGUAUAUUGCCUCUCGGAUUCCAGCCCAGUCUCCAGGGUCGGGUUGCCAGCUGAAAUUCCUGGCUCCACUAUGUUCUGGCUGUGCAACCUUGAACAUCUCAUGUUUUUUUUUUUUUUUUUCUUGGCUCUGGCUUUUGUUAUGUGAAAUUAGAAUUUUUAAAUGAGGGAA